GGAGAGGUGGCUGAGUGGACGAAGGCGGCAGACUCGAAAUCUGUUGUACCUCUUGCUAGGUACCGUGGGUUCGAAUCCCACCCUCUCCG
Molecule: transfer RNA, 89 nt
Filed under: Candidatus Mcinerneyibacteriota bacterium
Lineage: Bacteria; Candidatus Macinerneyibacteriota
Also listed under: 1 other name
Description: tRNA-Ser
Rfam family: tRNA
About the family: Transfer RNA (tRNA) molecules are approximately 80 nucleotides in length. Their secondary structure includes four short double-helical elements and three loops (D, anti-codon, and T loops).
Source: RNAcentral